UUCUCCCUUGCCCAAUUCUGCAAAAUGACUGGAAGUACCUUUUUAAAAGAAAAGUCAGACUAGAAAUGAGGAAGGGGUGCUUGAAGGGAACAGCUAAAUCAGAAUUGAGUGGAGCCUAGUGGGGAUGGUGUGAUGUGCAGCCAGGGGUGACUGAAGGGCUGCUGCAUCUUGGCUUGCAUCACCACCACCCUCCCCUGCAGGCUGAAGCUCACUCUCUCUGCAGAAGUCAUGGGCCUGUCCCAGGCAGCACCCACUCCUGCUGUGAGAGGGCCACCAGACCCUCCAGAGAAGACCGUCCAGAGAAGAAGGGUGAGAAGAACAAGGAUGGCUGCCAUGCUGUCACAUGGCAAACUGGCCUAGGCCUGAAUACAGCAAUGAGCUGCACAAUUCAUCCAUGUGGAGAAGGCAGAGAAAUGAGUGCUGGUGUGCAAAAAGCAAAGACUUGUCCCAGGGACUAAGAACAACUCCUUUGCUGUCAAACUCCUGUGCUAGUGCAGCUCUGUUUUGCUCUAGAGUUUGCUCUGUUCCUGAUAACUUUCUGACCCUGUGUUGUGCUCCAGGGACUGUUUUGACCUCCGUGAACCUUUGCCUUCCACACGCUUUAUUUUGGACAAAAAUAUUCUUAUCAUCCCUUUCAUCUGAGGAGAAAGCCAUCUUCCAAACAGCAAGGUACCCACAGCUUUGUAUGUUCUGUACGGUGGCACUUUUGCUUUUUCCUCAGCCUCUCCUGCCUCUGUUGCGGAUGCUGCCAUUCCCGCUUGGUUAAUUUGUCUUUGUCAGCACAUGUUUCCACAGCAGUGGCAAGACUGACCGUCCCUGGUAGGGCCAGCCGUGUUUACCCGACCACUCCGCAUCCUUCGGCAAGCAGCCUGCUCUUGGUGACUUUUCUGUUCACUUUUACCCACUGAAGCCACAAAUUCUCAAUGAAUUCUUAUGCCUUUUCUAGCCCGAACGAAACCAUCUGAAAAGUAAA
Pezoporus flaviventris is the source of this 973-nucleotide long non-coding RNA. RefSeq lists it as uncharacterized. The transcript has 2 exons. The record is from RefSeq and is a predicted model, not a curated record. NCBI's taxonomy places the organism in Eukaryota, Metazoa, Chordata, Aves, Psittaciformes, Psittacidae.